UCGGACAUCGGGUACCAUUGCUAGAUGGUCACUUCGAUUAGUAUAGGAAUUGGUUCCUGUGCUACCGGCUUAGGUUCGAACCUGUGGGGUCACACACAUUAGAGGUUCCUAUCUGAUAUGAUGGUUGAUGUAGAAUCUUACAUGUUUGGGACUCAGUGAUCGAGAAUCAGGAUUCUCUGAUCAUGAGUUCCAAACAUUAUGGGUACCGG
Molecule: long non-coding RNA, 209 nt
Filed under: Elaeis guineensis (African oil palm)
Lineage: Eukaryota; Viridiplantae; Streptophyta; Magnoliopsida; Arecales; Arecaceae
Description: long non-coding RNA (EGUI_LNC042391)
Source: RNAcentral